AGUGAACGCUGGCGGUAGGCCUAACACAUGCAAGUCGAACGGCAGCACAGUAAGAGCUUGCUCUUACGGGUGGCGAGUGGCGGACGGGUGAGGAAUACAUCGGAAUCUACUUUUUCGUGGGGGAUAACGUAGGGAAACUUACGCUAAUACCGCAUACGACCUACGGGUGAAAGCAGGGGAUCUUCGGACCUUGCGCGAUUGAAUGAGCCGAUGUCGGAUUAGCUAGUUGGCGGGGUAAAGGCCCACCAAGGCGACGAUCCGUAGCUGGUCUGAGAGGAUGAUCAGCCACAUUGGAACUGGGACACGGUCCAGACUCCUACGGGAGGCAGCAGUGGGGAAUAUUGGACAAUGGGCGCAAGCCUGAUCCAGCCAUACCGCGUGGGUGAAGAAGGCCUUCGGGUUGUAAAGCCCUUUUGUUGGGAAAGAAAAGCAGCAGGUUAAUACCCCGCUGUUCUGACGGUACCCAAAGAAUAAGCACCGGCUAACUUCGUG
This 492-nucleotide ribosomal RNA is filed under the name uncultured bacterium. RNAcentral describes it as "partial 16S ribosomal RNA". It matches the Rfam family "Bacterial small subunit ribosomal RNA", at positions 29 to 507 of the family's 1533-position model. The record is from RNAcentral.